Molecule: signal recognition particle RNA, 100 nt
Filed under: Thermodesulfobacteriota bacterium
Lineage: Bacteria; Pseudomonadati; Thermodesulfobacteriota
Description: Thermodesulfobacteria bacterium signal recognition particle sRNA small type
Rfam family: Bacterial small signal recognition particle RNA
About the family: The signal recognition particle (SRP) is a universally conserved ribonucleoprotein involved in the co-translational targeting of proteins to membranes.
Source: RNAcentral
CGCCGGGUCCCACGCGGCAGGAGCCUCCGAACCCCGCCAGGCCCGGAAGGGAGCAACGGUAAGGAGGAUGUCCUGGGUGACGUGGGGUAGCCUGGCGGCG